GGAAACUUGUUUCAGUGCCAAUUCAUGCUAACAAAUUUGGAUGCUUGAAGUCUCUUUAUUAAAUAUGUAGCAAGAAAUGUACCCAUAGGGCUGGGGAUUUAGCUCAGUGGUUCCCCUGCCUGCCUGGCACAAGGACACAAGAAAAAAGAAAAAAAGAAAGAAAGGAGCCUAAAUGAAUUAGCAAACACACGAGGGAGCCAGAC
This 203-nucleotide long non-coding RNA is filed under the name Fukomys damarensis (Damara mole-rat). RNAcentral describes it as "lncRNA (ENSFDAG00000022299.1)". Lineage: Eukaryota; Metazoa; Chordata; Mammalia; Rodentia; Bathyergidae. The record is from RNAcentral.